AAUAGAUACCCGGGUAGUCCACGCCGUAAACGAUGGAUGCUAGCUGUUAGGAGUAUCGACCCUUCUAGUAGCGAAGCUAACGCGUUAAGCAUCCCGCCUGGGGAGUACGAACGCAAGUUUAAAACUCAAAGGAAUUGACGGGGACCCGCACAAGUGGUGGAGCGUGUUCUUUAAUUCGAAGCUAAGCGAAGAACCUUACCAGGGCUUGACAUCCUUGGAAUCUUUCCGAAAGGAGAGAGUACUUUAUUGGACCAAGUGACAGGUGUUGCAUGGCCGUCGUCAGCUCGUGUCGUGAGAUGUUUGGUUAAGUCCAUUAACGAGCGCAACCCUUAUGAUUAGUUGAAUUUUUCUAAUCAGACUGCCUCGGUAACGGGGAGGAAGGAGGGGAUGAUGUCAGGUCAUUAUUACCCUUACGUCCUGGGCUAGAAACGCGCUACAAUGGCCGGUACAAAGGGCAGCCAACCCGGCGAGGGGGAGCAAAUCCCAUCAAAACCGGUCCCAGUUCGGAUUGCAGGCUGAAACUCGCCUGCAUGAAGCCGGAAUCACUAGUAAUCGUAGGUC
Molecule: ribosomal RNA, 561 nt
Filed under: uncultured bacterium
Lineage: Bacteria
Description: bacterial SSU rRNA
Rfam family: Bacterial small subunit ribosomal RNA
Source: RNAcentral